AACGAGAAGCCUCACCAACUUUUUUUACAAUAUACUAGUAAUACUAUUGUGGACCAGUCAUGUUAGUGUACUGCAGGCUUGCCAGGUUACUGUGCCCAUGUUGUGGGUCUGGUAUACACGCUGGACCUCUGGCGUGCGAAACAAGAAGAGGUAGCUUCAACAAGUGUUUCACAAACAUGGCAUCAACCAAGAGGGGGCAAAAUAUCAGCCACACCUGUAGUAAAUUUAGUGGUUGCCAAGGCCAAAAUUCAAAGAAAAAGGAAACCGAUUGUCAAUACCUACACACACAAGAAGAAAAUGCUAGGGCCAGAAAUAUUCGAUCUGCUUAGGGAAAUUACAGAUGCACCUAUCAGCUACCUUGUAGAUAAAGAUGCACCUCAGCUGUGAAAGGCCAGAAAUAUGCCUUGGGAUGUGGUCUAAGCCACCAGGUGAGAGAAAUAACAAAAAAAGAUGCAGUAUCCAGGUUUAUAAUUUUUGUUUUAUUAUGUGUUCUUAUAUUGAGAAUAUAUACAUACUAUAAGCAUAGUCUUAUUUAUUACAUUGCCAACCAACACAUCACACUCACAGUUGUUACUUUCUCAAAAUAUGAGGCUGGAAAUUGGACAGAGGGGUAUUCCAGAAAGCAGGUUUACUGGCUUAACUGGGUAUGUUAACCCAGAGUUAGCGGUA
Long non-coding RNA from Alosa alosa (allis shad), 669 nucleotides. RefSeq lists it as uncharacterized. The transcript is spliced from 3 exons. The record is from RefSeq and is a predicted model, not a curated record. Lineage: Eukaryota; Metazoa; Chordata; Actinopteri; Clupeiformes; Clupeidae.